RNAcentral lists this ribosomal RNA (380 nucleotides) under uncultured eukaryote. Its description in RNAcentral is "partial 18S ribosomal RNA". It matches the Rfam family "Eukaryotic small subunit ribosomal RNA", at positions 592 to 976 of the family's 1831-position model. The record is from RNAcentral.
CAAUAGCGUAGAUUAAAGUUGUUGCAGUUAGAACGCUCGUAGUCGGAUUUCGGGGCGUUCCGACCGGUCUGCCGAUGGGUAUGCACUGGCCGGAGUGUCCUUUUUGCCGGAGACCGUGCCUACUCUUAACUGAGCGGGGGCGGGAGACGGCACUUUUACUUUGAAAAAAUCAGAGUGUUUCAAGCAGGCAGCUCGCUCUUGCAUGGAUUAGCAUGGGAUAAUGAAAUAGGACUUUGGUGCUAUUUUGUUGGUUUCGAACACCGAAGUAAUGAUGAGAAGGGACAGUCAGGGGCACUCGUAUUCCGCAGAGAGAGGUGAAAUUCUCAGACCCGCGGAAGACGAACCACUGCGAAAGCAUUUGCCAGGGAUGUUUNCACUGA